GACGAACGCUGGCGGCGUGCUUAACACAUGCAAGUCGAACGGAAAGGCCCUGCUUGCAGGGUGCUCGAGUGGCGAACGGGUGAGUAACACGUGGGUGAUCUGCCCCUUACUUUGGGAUAAGCCUGGGAAACUGGGUCUAAUACUGGAUAGGACCAUGCUGUAGGUGGUGUGGUGGAAAGAUUAGUUUCGGUAAGGGAUGAGCUCGCGGCCUAUCAGCUUGUUGGUGGGGUAAUGGCCUACCAAGGCGUCGACGGGUAGCCGGCCUGAGAGGGUGGACGGCCACAUUGGGACUGAGAUACGGCCCAGACUCCUACGGGAGGCAGCAGUGGGGAAUAUUGCACAAUGGGCGCAAGCCUGAUGCAGCGACGCCGCGUGGGGGAUGACGGCCUUCGGGUUGUAAACUCCUUUCAGCCAUGACGAAGCCUUCGGGUGACGGUAGUGGUAGAAGAAGCACCGGCUAACUACGU
This 467-nucleotide ribosomal RNA is filed under the name uncultured bacterium. Its description in RNAcentral is "partial 16S ribosomal RNA". It matches the Rfam family "Bacterial small subunit ribosomal RNA", at positions 28 to 506 of the family's 1533-position model. The record is from RNAcentral.